GCAUCGAUAGCCCAGUGGCAGAGCGGUGGGGCGUUUACCCAUGCGGCCCGGGUUCUAUUCCCGGUCGAUGUA
This is a non-coding RNA of Phthorimaea operculella (potato tuberworm), 72 nucleotides long. NCBI's taxonomy places the organism in Eukaryota, Metazoa, Arthropoda, Insecta, Lepidoptera, Gelechiidae. The record is from the annotation of a GenBank genome assembly.